CAAGGCGUGGUGAAGGGGCUAACACGAAAGAUUGUGGUUCUUUUAUUCGAGGGUUCAAAUCCCUCCGUCUUGA
RNAcentral lists this transfer RNA (73 nucleotides) under Priestia megaterium. RNAcentral's name for it is "Bacillus megaterium tRNA-His". It matches the Rfam family "tRNA". From Rfam's summary of the family: Transfer RNA (tRNA) molecules are approximately 80 nucleotides in length. Their secondary structure includes four short double-helical elements and three loops (D, anti-codon, and T loops). Lineage: Bacteria; Bacillati; Bacillota; Bacilli; Caryophanales; Bacillaceae. The record is from RNAcentral.